CGCCCCACCCUGCCGCCCCACUACGCCGACGCAGCCGCACUUUCACCGCUAUAUAAACUGCCGCACUGCAUUCUCCCGUACCUCCAGUUGUUUCCUGGAUCACAGCUCUGCACCAUGUUCAGGUUUCUGGUUCUGCUGGUUCUGGUGGCGCUGGCAGCGUGCGUGCUGGCGACCCACGAGCCGGGCCACACGGAGAGCGGCGGUGGCGCCUCUGGCGGCGUCCGCUACGGCGCAGGCGCGGGCAGCGUGUCCUCCGAGGGCGGGCACGGCCGGGAAGCCGGCUACGGCGACGCCUUCGGCCACGAGACGCACGGCAAGCAGUAGCCGGGCGCAUCCCCGCUCACUCUGCACAGCGCCGCUGCCGCCUUCAUCACAGCCUCUCACCACAGCCGACAGCACUCAGCACAGUGACACACUACUCUUGCGUGGAAAUGCAUACCCGAGAACAUGUCAGUACAGACGCUAAAUAAUGGUAGCAGCUCUCGAGAUGUCCCACGCAAGCAGAGCAGAACACGUACCAAAAAGGACUAAUUGCCUCAGAUCAUCUCAAAAAGUAUUUGCAAUCAGAUUACAGUA
This is a long non-coding RNA of Schistocerca americana (American grasshopper), 576 nucleotides long. RefSeq lists it as uncharacterized. The record is from RefSeq and is a predicted model, not a curated record. NCBI's taxonomy places the organism in Eukaryota, Metazoa, Arthropoda, Insecta, Orthoptera, Acrididae. The transcript is spliced from 2 exons.